RNAcentral lists this ribosomal RNA (253 nucleotides) under uncultured bacterium. Its description in RNAcentral is "partial 16S ribosomal RNA". It matches the Rfam family "Bacterial small subunit ribosomal RNA", at positions 524 to 776 of the family's 1533-position model. The record is from RNAcentral.
UACAGAGGGUGCAAGCGUUGUUCGGAAUUAUUGGGCGUAAAGCGCGUGUAGGCGGCUUGGCAAGUCAGAUGUGAAAGCCCAUGGCUCAACCAUGGAAGUGCGUCUGAAACUGCCGAGCUUGAGUACCGGAGAGGAUGGCGGAAUUCCGCAAGUAGAGGUGAAAUUCGUAGAUAUGCGGAGGAACACCGGUGGCGAAGGCGGCCAUCUGGACGGUCACUGACGCUGAGACGCGAAAGCGUGGGUAGCAAACAGG